RNAcentral lists this ribosomal RNA (482 nucleotides) under uncultured bacterium. RNAcentral describes it as "bacterial SSU rRNA". It matches the Rfam family "Bacterial small subunit ribosomal RNA", at positions 29 to 506 of the family's 1533-position model. The record is from RNAcentral.
UUGAACGCUGGCGGAAUGCUUUACACAUGCAAGUCGAGCGGCAGCGCGGGGGCAACCCUGGCGGCGAGCGGCGAACGGGUGAGUAAUACAUCGGAACGUACCCAGUUGUGGGGGAUAGCCCGGCGAAAGCCGGAUUAAUACCGCAUAAGUCCUGAGGGAGAAAGCGGGGGACCGUAAGGCCUCGCGCGAUUGGAGCGGCCGAUGUUCGAUUAGCUAGUUGGUGGGGUAAAGGCCUACCAAGGCGACGAUCGAUAGCUGGUCUGAGAGGACGACCAGCCACACUGGAACUGAGACACGGUUCAGACUCCUACGGGAGGCAGCAGUGGGGAAUUUUGGACAAUGGGGGCAACCCUGAUCCAGCCAUUCCGCGUGAGUGAGGAAGGCCUUCGGGUUGUAAAACUCUUUCGGCAGGAACGAAACGGUGAGCUCUAACAUAGCUUGCUAAUGACGGUACCUGAAGAAGAAGCACCGGCUAACUACGU